GCAGCCGCGUCGCCAUUGAACGACCCCCUGAAUACAGUGUUCUACUACCUCUACAACACUGUACUCCGAAUGGCCAAUUCGCACAUGCGACAUAUCAUCACCUAUUUCAGGAGGCGUCACGUGCGGCUGCGACCACGGUGGCUGCUGCUGCGCGACGAGCAGCGAGGAUGAGGUCCAGUCGGCGGCGUGCUCCAGCGAGAGCAGUGGCAGCUGCUCGUCCUGCUCGCACGAAGACGCCUGCAAGGCGGACGCGUCCUCCACGCGUGACCAGUCGUACAGCGCCGGCAGCGUCUCCUCAACAUCGGCAUGCAGCGGCUGUCGUGAGCCUGAGAUCGGCACUCUGCUGCGCACCACCGCCUCUUUCUGCGAGACCUUGGCCCGGGCUCUCAGCGGUGAGCAGCACGCAACCAAGAGGUACCGAAACGUACGGAAGAUCACCAUGCAUGCAGCUAACAAGAAAUGAUACUUUAGCUCUACUGCUCCGGCAUCGCCGUGAAAUAAUACAAUUUCAAUAACAACCGAUGUCGAUUCUUUUCAUUUGAUCAAUCAGGAAGACAACCUUGAGACUCCGCCGAAUUUUUUACGCAAUAGGCUACACCUACAUUUUUAAAGGGGUCUUGAAAUCCCUUCAAAACUUACUGCUUUGUUCUCCUCGUGAGCCGCUGUAUUAUUGAACCCUAUUAUUCACUCUGACCACCGGUUGUCUUUUAAAGUAGACGUUUCAAAACACUUACGCUCCGAUUACCCCGUGUCAUCUCUCCCUGUGCACCCGCUGGGGCAAGAUGAGAAAAUAAAAUUGCUUGAAGUGUGCGACAAACCCUUGUAAACUCCUCUCCUUCUCGACGAAUUCGAGAUAAUAUUCCCGGCAAUCAAUUCGCGAAGCAAUGAGCUCCGAAGCUGAUAUCAUUCGAUGAAUACCAGGAAAAAUGGCUCAGGACCUCCUAGUAUAUGCAACAUUCUACGAGUCUGUACUGGUUUAAAAUGUUCAGCUUCUAUUUGAACAAGCGAGCUUCUGGUUCCGAAAUAAUAUACCGAAGGAUGGCCUAUGGUUUGUAUACAUGCAUCACUGAAAUUUCCCCCUAUAGUAAUGGUGUACAUGUGCGGUGGUGAAUCGCGUGCCCUGGUUGGGUACAUGUGUUCAUUCUUGAUUAAUAAAGCACCCGGUCAAUUCCAA
Long non-coding RNA from Rhipicephalus microplus (southern cattle tick), 1174 nucleotides. RefSeq lists it as uncharacterized. The record is from RefSeq and is a predicted model, not a curated record. NCBI's taxonomy places the organism in Eukaryota, Metazoa, Arthropoda, Arachnida, Ixodida, Ixodidae.